AAGAGCCAAUAAGAUUGCACCAGUUAAUUCAAAACGGAUGUAAUAAAUUACUUUACCAGUUUCGUACCUUCAUGUAACAACUUCUUCCCUCGUGGUAAGGAAUGAAGGAUCGACAAUUACAAUUUAUAAUCAUUUUUGAACUUCAAAGGGAUAAAUUGACAGGCCUAAUUACAAUGAAACGCCGCUGGAAGUGGCAUUUGUUGUCUCUGGAACUAUUUAAAUAACAAACUAAGUCAGUUUGAGGUACCUUUGUUUUUGUUUUGUUUUUUUUAUCAAAUGAGGGAUUUGUCUCCCGGGGACUACUACAAUUUUCGAGCAGGUCGAUGUUGAGAUAAUGGGGUGGCGCAUCUCAAACCAUGUAUUGUCAAAUAUGAAGUCAAGGGUUAGAUGAAUAAGACUUUUAGGGAACAAUGUCCCACGGGGGAACCACUAUAGCCAAUACUCAAAUUGUUCAAGAGUGGAAUAACAGUCAGAUAUAUUCACUUCAGGGAGUCUGAUGUCCCACGGAGUGCUUUCCUCCGCAAAAGAAAAGAAAAGACAGAAAUAACUUUGACCGGUGUGGAUGCAGUGAUGUGUAAUGUUUAGGUAACAAUUUGCAUGGUUUUAGAAGUAAGGCUGGCGACGAAGUUAUUUUCUCUCUAUUGUAAUCUCACUGUCGAGAUGUAAUAAAAGGGUUCAUACUAGCUGUUAUUAAGAAACUAUUUUUAAAAAGUUCCAUAGCUGACUUGAUUACAAAAAUUAACCAACUCGAGCAUAAGUUUUUAGAGUUUUAUAAUUUAUGUCGCUGCAUUUGUGAAUUUAGAAGGAUCUUGGAGUUAAAAAGAU
Molecule: long non-coding RNA, 825 nt
Organism: Stylophora pistillata
Lineage: Eukaryota; Metazoa; Cnidaria; Anthozoa; Scleractinia; Pocilloporidae
Source: RefSeq, a predicted model, not a curated record